UAUUAAAAAUUUCAUCCACUCGUAUAGUUAAAAAUUGACCUGCAUGAUGGAAUAAUUAGAUUGUUACAUGUAGUUUGUCACGUGUACUUCAUGCUAAUGUACAAUGAUCAAUUUAACAAUAGAAAUGGAUGAAAUUUUUAAUA
Molecule: non-coding RNA, 143 nt
Organism: Gossypium hirsutum (cotton)
Lineage: Eukaryota; Viridiplantae; Streptophyta; Magnoliopsida; Malvales; Malvaceae
Source: Rfam